CUCAGGACGAACGCUGGCGGCGUGCUUAACACAUGCAAGUCGAGCGGAGAAUAUAGCAAUAUAUUCUUAGCGGCGGACGGGUGAGUAACGCGUGGGUAACCUGCCUUUUACAGGGGGAUAACACUGGGAAACUAGUGCUAAUACCGCAUAAAAUAGUGAAGUGGCAUCACUUUACUAUCAAAGGAGCAAUCCGGUAAAAGAUGGACCCGCGUCCGAUUAGCUAGUUGGAGGGGUAACGGCCCACCAAGGCGACGAUCGGUAGCCGAACUGAGAGGUUGAUCGGCCACAUUGGGACUGAGACACGGCCCAGACUCCUACGGGAGGCAGCAGUGGGGAAUAUUGCGCAAUGGGGGGAAAAACCCCCUGACGCAGCAACGCCGCGUGAAGGAUGAAGGUUUUCGGAUUGUAAACUUCUGUCCUUGGUGAAGAGAAGAAGACGGUAGCCAAGGAGGAAGCCCCGGCUAACUACGUGCCAGCCGCUGC
This 483-nucleotide ribosomal RNA is filed under the name uncultured bacterium. RNAcentral's name for it is "bacterial SSU rRNA". It matches the Rfam family "Bacterial small subunit ribosomal RNA", at positions 23 to 518 of the family's 1533-position model. The record is from RNAcentral.